Long non-coding RNA from Oncorhynchus tshawytscha (Chinook salmon), 1700 nucleotides. Lineage: Eukaryota; Metazoa; Chordata; Actinopteri; Salmoniformes; Salmonidae. The record is from Ensembl.
CCUCUCGCUCCUACUAAGAAGCCAACUGACCCGGUUGAUAUAUUAUCGAAUAGAUAUUUGAAAAACACCUUGAAGAUUGAUUAUAAAAAACGUUUGCCAUGUUUCUGUCGAUAUUAUGGAUCUAAUUUGGAAUAUUUUUCGGCGUUGUCGUGACCGCAGUUUCCGGUGGAUUUCUCAACCAAACGUGAAGAACAAAAGGAGGUAUUUCGGCUACAAAAAUAAUCUUUAUGAAACAAAAUGAACAUUUGCUGUCUAACUGGGAGUCUCGUCAGUGAAAACAUCCGAAGAUCAUCAAAGGAUGCUCCCGUCAUUUGUGGGAAUGCUUGACGGAAGAACAAAGCACUUUGGCAGGAGUGGAAAGAUAUGUGGCGCCACAUUCCAGAAGGCAUUCCACGAGUGAACGUAUGGGCUGUUUGAAAUAGACACUCUUUGUGAAAGCGUUCUCCUCCAUGGUCCUGCCUGCUCACAGGAGAUGCAUGCUGUAUCAGUUGGAUGGGAAUUGCAAUCAAUACCACUUCCGGAAAGCCUCAGGUACAGACAGACAUUCACACCACUGGCAGUGGGCUGGAAUAAGAGGAAGUUCACCAACAUGGAUGUUGGCAAAAAGACAUGUGAAGAACGUCAGAAGACUGAAGGAGGAGACCAGCCUCCUUGAAGCAAAGCAGAGUUGGACAUCAAUGACACUGUGCUUCUGGAGUGGGUUGCUGGGGUGCUACAGUGGCCUGAAGACGAGAGGAGGACAAGAGAUGACGAGAGAACUGGAUGAGAACAAGCAGCCUUGACAGCUGCCAUCGUUCAACUUCACGAGCAGCAGACGGAGUUCAGGCUCCCAACAGUGGAGGAGCUGCUCAAUACUGACAACUGUGUGUGGCCAUGGGAGAGUCUUGGCACCAGUAAGAAACAUGAUUGCAGAAGACUGAUGGUGAACAGACUGCAGGAGGAAGAGAAGGUCCUGGUGCAGGAGAGGAGGCACUAGGGGAGCCUACAAAGAGCAGUAGGAUCCCUGGAGGCACUGUCCCUACAGCUGCAAGAUCAGAGGAAGUUGAGGCAGUGGGCACAAAACCAAGUCAACAGCAGGAACAGCUACCACAAGCUGAUUCUGGGAGAAGGGGAUAUUUUUGACGACUGAUGAAGAUGAGCUCAGAUGAAGAUAGAUGUCCUAUUGCUGAGAGCUCAGACGAUGCCUGCUAUGUUUUCUGAAAUCAUACACCUCCCCUGCCACAGGAGAGGGAGAAGGCCACCUCCCCUGCCUCUUUCUCUCAUUCUCUGUCUCCCACAGGAGAGGGAGAAGGCCACCACCCUUGCCACUUUGUCUCGGUCUCUCUCUCCCACAGGAAAGGGAGAAAGCCACCACCCCUGCCUCUUUCUCUCGGUCUCUCUCCCGCAGAAGAGGGAAAAGGUCACCACCACCUCCCUUUUGAGAAGCCUGGUCUCCUGAUGUUGACCCCCUAACCCCUCACCUUCUGAACUCAUCCAGGUCAAUGUAAUUUGCCUGAUGACGUGCUAGUGGAGAAGGAAUGUGUCAUUUGAGCGCAUUUGUUCCCAUGUUUCCUCUCCUCUGUUUCUUCCGGUCCUAGACUACGGCGACAUCAUCAGCAACUCAGACAGUUGGUUGCGUACCUCUUUACUAAGGAAUGUGGUUGGUUUAUUUUCUUGGAGUAUUUACUAUGCUGCUGUGAUUUAGAUGUUUGCAAAAUAAU